Molecule: ribosomal RNA, 253 nt
Filed under: uncultured bacterium
Lineage: Bacteria
Description: partial 16S ribosomal RNA
Rfam family: Bacterial small subunit ribosomal RNA
Source: RNAcentral
UACGUAGGGUGCAAGCGUUGUCCGGAUUCACUGGGGGUAAAGGGAGCGCAGGCGGGUCUUCAAGUCGUUGGUGAAAUUCUCAGGCUCAACCUGGGGACUGCCAUUGAUACUGGAGAUCUUGAGUGCAGAAGAGGAAGACGGAAUUACUGGUGUAGCGGUGAAAAGCGUAGAUAUCAGGAAGAACACCGGUGGCGAAGGCGGUAUUCUGGUCUGUAACUGACGCUCAUGCUCGAAAGCGUGGGGAGCAAACAGG